Molecule: ribosomal RNA, 1980 nt
Filed under: Gammaracanthus loricatus
Lineage: Eukaryota; Metazoa; Arthropoda; Malacostraca; Amphipoda; Gammaridae
Description: bacterial SSU rRNA
Rfam family: Eukaryotic small subunit ribosomal RNA
Source: RNAcentral
UACCCGAAUGGCUUCGUUCUCUUGUAGAGCUGGUCAAUGACGGGUGCUUUUAUUAGACCAAGCCACUGCGGAUGCCUUAAAAACAUCUGUCUCGUGUAAUGGUGACUCUGAAUAACCUUUUUGACAAGCGCACGUACUCCUCUUAUGAGCGGGACGGCGCUGCCACUUUCGAGUGUCUGCCUUAUCAGCUAUCAAUCGUUCGUUACGUGCGACCGAUGGCUUUGACGGGUAACGGGGAAUCAGGGUUCGAUUCCGGAGAGGCAGCCUGAGAAACGGCUACCACGUCCAAGGACGGCAGCAGGCACGCAAAUUACCCAAUCCCAGCAACUGGGGGAGGUAGUGACGAAAUCUAACGAUGCGGGCGCCCUUUCUAGGGCCCCGCAAUCGGAAUGGCCACUUUCUAAACAACCUGUUGAGAACCUACUGAAGGGCAAGUCUGGUGCCAGCAGCCGCGGUAAUUCCAGCUUCAGUAGCAUCUAUUAAAGUUGCUGCGGUUAAAAGGCUCGCAGUUGAAUGUCAGUAUCGAGCGCAGUCAGGUGGACGUUGGGGCGUGAGAUAACACACGGUACGAUUUUCUGUGGUCGCAGUGUUCUGGGCUUCUCUCUCUCUUCGUUUCUCGAGCUUCGGCAAGAGUUCAAGGGUUUGGUUGUUCAUUCCUGCUUUGGCUGUGGUGCGUACCGUCUCACAAGCUCCCGUCCGUAAACAGCCUCCUCGCUUGGGUACAUAAUGGUAUCGGUACGGAUAAGUUGGCAUUCGCACUUGUGUGUUUGUUUUCUUCAUCCUAUGGUUUCAAUGUCACCUUGAGUAAAUCAGAGUGCUCAAAGCAGUCGUAGGGGCAUUUUUUGCCCCGUGAACAGUCUCGGCGGACUGACUGGUUUUGCAUGGUAUGUCGAAAGACGACGUCGUGGUCUGGCUAGACAGUGGUGCAAGCCAGGCUCGACGUAAUGAUUAAAAGGACCGGUCGAGGGCAUUGGUAUUGCGAGGCGAGAGGUGAAAUUCUGUGACCCCCGCAAGACCUCCUGAAGCGAAAGCGUCUGCCAUGGACGUUUUCAUUAAUCAUGAACGAAAGUUAGAGGAUCGAAGGCGAUCAGAUACCGCCCUAGUUCUAACCCUAAACGAUGCCAACCAUCAAUCCGCGCGUAGCACCUUUCUUGACGGGCUCGGCGGGCAGCUCCUUUACCACGGGAAACCAGAGUCUUUGGGUUCCGGGGGGAGUCUGGUUGCAAAGCUGAAACUUAAAGGAAUUGACGGAAAGGCACCACCAGGCGUGGAGCCUGCGGCUUAAUUUGACUCAACACGGGCCAUCUCACCAGGCCAGCACUCUAUACUGAUUGACAGAUUGAGAGCUCUUUCUCGAUUUAGUGGAUGGUGGUGCAUGGCCGUUCUUAGUUGGUGGAGUGAUCUGUCUGGUUAAUUCCGAUAACGAACGAGACUCUCCCCUGCUAACUAGUCGGUUGGAUCUUGCUCGGUGAGUCGUGUCCUGGGUGUUUUCGGGAGGGAGUAAUUCGUGUGGUGGUCUUUGUUGUAUGUGGUUUCGGCCGCUGCUUCAUUUCUGCUGUCUCGGAUCUUUCUCUACGGCCUGGAUCGCACACUCCAAGUCCACCGCUUAUGCUAUAACUCUUCUUAGAGGGAUUGAUGGCUCCGAAGCCGUAAGAGAUUGAGAGCAAUAACAGGUCUGUGAUGCCCUUAGAUGCUCUGGGCCGCACGCGCGCUACAAUGCCAGGCACAGCAGGUGUUUGUCCUACUCCGACAGGAGCGGGUAACCCUCUGAAAGCCUUCGAUUUACUCUCGUGUCUGACACGAAUGGCGUGAUUGGGCCUGGGGCUUGCAAUUGUUUCCCACAAACGAGGAAUGCCUAGUAGCGGCGGGUCACUGAGCCCGCCGUGACUCAGUCCCUGCCCUUUGUACACACCGCCCGUCGCUACUACCGAUUGGGUGUACCAGUGAGAGCUUUGGACUGGCGUCCUUUUGCCUUAGGGC